CGAUUAGGGCCUGGUUAGUACUGGGGUGGGGGACUGCCCGGGAACACCCUCAGGUGCUGUCAGCU
This 65-nucleotide ribosomal RNA is filed under the name Alexandrium tamarense. Lineage: Eukaryota; Dinophyceae; Gonyaulacales; Pyrocystaceae. The record is from RNAcentral.